This 330-nucleotide ribosomal RNA is filed under the name uncultured eukaryote. RNAcentral describes it as "partial 18S ribosomal RNA". It matches the Rfam family "Eukaryotic small subunit ribosomal RNA", at positions 1470 to 1796 of the family's 1831-position model. The record is from RNAcentral.
CCCUUAGAUGUCCUGGGCUGCACGCGCGCUACACUGACACAUGCAACGAGUUUUUCCUUACCUGAAAGGGUUGGGUAAUCUCCUUGAAAGUGUGUCGUGAUGGGGAUAGAUUAUUGCAAUUAUUAAUCUUCAACGAGGAAUUCCUAGUAAGUGCAAGUCAUCAGCUUGCGCUGAUUACGUCCCUGCCCUUUGUACACACCGCCCGUCGCUACUACCGAUUGAAUGGUUUAGUGAGAUCUCUGGAUUGACGCUGGCUAGGGGGCGACCCUUGGCCAGGCUGUCGAGAAACUGCUCAAACUUGAUCAUUUAGAGGAAGUAAAAGUCGUAACA